AUUUGCUAUAAUUUAUCCAAUCUUGCCAUGUUCUUGAGAAAUGUAUACUCUUGUUGUAUACUCAUAAGUUCUUCGAUGGACAUGGCUAAUUUAAGGACCAGAGCUUUUUCACUUUACAGGACAUUUGUUCAUUAAAUUAUUUUUAAUAAACCAAAAA
Molecule: long non-coding RNA, 157 nt
Organism: Spea bombifrons (plains spadefoot toad)
Lineage: Eukaryota; Metazoa; Chordata; Amphibia; Anura; Pelobatidae
Exons: 2
Source: RefSeq, a predicted model, not a curated record